UGGUNCNCUUANNACAUGCAAGUUUAACGGCUUUAGCCGUGGCGUACGGGUGAGUAAAACAUGAGUUAUCUACAUUUAGGUUGGGGAUAAGAAGUAGAAGUACUUUGUUUAAUACCCAAUAAAGCUCUUUUAGAGUUAAAUGAAUUUCGCCUAGAUAUGAGCUUAUGUCUGAUUAGCUAGUUGGUAGGGUAAAGGCCUACCAAGGCAAUGAUCAGUAGCUGUUCUGAGAAGGAGAUCAGCCACACUGGGACUGAGAUACGGAACAGACUCUUUAGGGAGGCAGCAGUGGGGAAUUUUUGGCAAUGGGCGAAAGCCUGACCAAGUGAUACUACGUGAAGGAUUAAGGUCUUCGGAUUGUAAACUUCUUUUUUCAUUGAUGAAUAUAUGACAUUAGAUGAAGAAUAAGCACCGGCUAAUUUCGUGCCAGCAGCCGCGGUAAUACGAGAGGUGCAAGCGUUAUCCGGAUUUAUUGGGCGUAAAGCGUUUGUAGAUGGUUUGCUAAGUUUAAUGUUAAAUUGCAAGGCCUAACCUUGUCAGGGCGUUAAAAACUGGUAAGACUUGAGUAUGGUGGAGAUAGAGGGAACUGGUAGUGUAGAGGUGAAAUUCGUAAAUAUUACCAAGAACACCGAUGGCGAAAGCACUCUAUUAUGCUAUUACUGACAUUGAGAGACGAAAGCUAGGGGAGCAAAGCAGAUUAGAUACCUGCGUAGUCCUAGCCGUAAACGAUGGACACUAAGUUAUGUGACUAAAAUUGCAUUUCUGUAGCUAACGCGUUAAGUGUCCCGCCUGGGGAGUAUGCUUGCAAAAGUGAAACUCAAAGGAAUUGACGGGUACCUACACAAGCGGUGGAGCAUGAGCAAUAAACGAUGAUACACGAUGAACCUUACCAGGGUUUGACAUGCUGGAUGCUUUUUCGAAAGAAUUAUUACCUCUUGUAUAAGAGGAUGCCAGACACAGGUGGUGCAUGGCUGUCGUCAGCUCGUGUCGUGAGACGUUAGGUUAAUUCCGUUAACGAGCGCAACCCUCGUCUUUAGUUAAUUUUCUAUAGAGACUGCCAGUGUUAAAUUGGAGGAAGGAGAGGAUGACGUCAAGUCAGCAUGCCCCUUAUAUCCUGGGCCUGACUCGUGCUACAAUGACUAAUACAAUGAGUAUAUAAAUCUGCGAGGAGGAUAAAACCUUUAAAUUUAGUCUUAGUUCGGAUCGCUUUCUGCAACUCGAAAGCGUUAAGUAGGAAUCGCUAGUAAUCGCCGGUCAGCUAUACGGUGGUGAAUAUGUUCUUAGGUAUUGUACAAACCGCCCGUCACGCCACGAAAAUUGACUAAACUCGAAAUGGUUAUUUAAAAUGAUUAUUAAGGUUGAGUUGUUAAUUGGGGCGAAGUCGUAACAAGGUA
This 1391-nucleotide ribosomal RNA is filed under the name Phacus hamatus. Its description in RNAcentral is "bacterial SSU rRNA". It matches the Rfam family "Bacterial small subunit ribosomal RNA". Lineage: Eukaryota; Euglenozoa; Euglenophyceae; Euglenales; Phacaceae. The record is from RNAcentral.